This 465-nucleotide ribosomal RNA is filed under the name Vreelandella stevensii. RNAcentral's name for it is "partial 16S ribosomal RNA". It matches the Rfam family "Bacterial small subunit ribosomal RNA", at positions 338 to 795 of the family's 1533-position model. Lineage: Bacteria; Pseudomonadati; Pseudomonadota; Gammaproteobacteria; Oceanospirillales; Halomonadaceae. The record is from RNAcentral.
CCUACGGGAGGCAGCAGUGGGGAAUAUUGGACAAUGGGCGAAAGCCUGAUCCAGCCAUGCCGCGUGUGUGAAGAAGGCCUUCGGGUUGUAAAGCACUUUCAGUGGGGAAGAAAGCCUUGGGGCUAAUACCCUCGAGGAAGGACAUCACCCACAGAAGAAGCACCGGCUAACUCCGUGCCAGCAGCCGCGGUAAUACGGAGGGUGCGAGCGUUAAUCGGAAUUACUGGGCGUAAAGCGCGCGUAGGCGGUCUGAUAAGCCGGUUGUGAAAGCCCCGGGCUCAACCUGGGAACGGCAGCCGGAACUGUCAGGCUAGAGUGCAGGAGAGGAAGGUAGAAUUCCCGGUGUAGCGGUGAAAUGCGUAGAGAUCGGGAGGAAUACCAGUGGCGAAGGCGGCCUUCUGGACUGACACUGACGCUGAGGUGCGAAAGCGUGGGUAGCAAACAGGAUUAGAUACCCGUGUAGUC